CCUACGGGAGGCAGCAGUGGGGAAUAUUGCACAAUGGGGGAAACCCUGAUGCAGCGACGCCGCGUGAGUGAAGAAGUAUUUCGGUAUGUAAAGCUCUAUCAGCAGGGAAGAAAAUGACGGUACCUGAUUCAGAAGCCCCGGCUAACUACGUGCCAGCAGCCGCGGUAAUACGUAGGGGGCAAGCGUUAUCCGGAUUUACUGGGUGUAAAGGGAGCGUAGACGGCAGCACAAGUCUGGAGGGAAAUGCCGGGGCUUAACCCCGGAACUGCUUUGGAAACUGUGCAGCUAGAGUGCAGGAGAGGUAAGUGGAAUUCCUAGUGUAGCGGUGAAAUGCGUAGAUAUUAGGAGGAACACCAGUGGCGAAGGCGGCUUACUGGACUGUAACUGACGUUGAGGCUCGAAAGCGUGGGGAGCAAACAGGAUUAGAUACCCGGGUAGUC
This 440-nucleotide ribosomal RNA is filed under the name uncultured bacterium. RNAcentral's name for it is "partial 16S ribosomal RNA". It matches the Rfam family "Bacterial small subunit ribosomal RNA", at positions 338 to 795 of the family's 1533-position model. The record is from RNAcentral.